This 497-nucleotide ribosomal RNA is filed under the name uncultured Rubrobacterales bacterium. Its description in RNAcentral is "bacterial SSU rRNA". It matches the Rfam family "Bacterial small subunit ribosomal RNA", at positions 8 to 492 of the family's 1533-position model. Lineage: Bacteria; Bacillati; Actinomycetota; Rubrobacteria; Rubrobacterales. The record is from RNAcentral.
AGAGUUUGAUCAUGGCUCAGGACGAACGCUGGCGGCGCGCUUAACACAUGCAAGUCGAGCGAGAACCAGGGCUUCGGCUUUGGGGACAGCGGCGAACGGGUGAGUAACACGUGAGCAACCUACCCUCGGCACCGGAAUAGCCCGGGGAAACUCGGAUUAAUGCCGGAUAGCCCCAUCGCCUCGCGAGGUGAUGGGAAAAGGUAGCUUCGGCCUCUGGCCGAGGAUGGGCUCGCGGCGGAUUAGCUUGUUGGCGGGGUAACGGCCCACCAAGGCGACGAUCCGUAGCUGGUCUGAGAGGACGAUCAGCCACACUGGGACUGAGACACGGCCCAGACUCCUACGGGAGGCAGCAGUGGGGAAUCUUGCGCAAUGGGCGAAAGCCUGACGCAGCGACGCCGCGUGCGGGAAGAAGGCCUUCGGGUUGUAAACCGCUUUCAGGUGGGACGAAGCCACUCGGGUGAAUAGCCCAGAGGGUGACGGUACCGCCAGAAGAAGCC